CGAUGUGAGGUGAUCUGACCGCGUCAUCUGUCACCCCACUGGUUUGGUUGAUUCAGCUGAUCUGGCCGGCGAGGAGGGUGUCCGCUUCCUCCCUCACCGAGCCUUGUAUGUUUCUCUGGAAGCUUUGCCCUCCUUUGAAGAGGACGACCCCCAACCCCACUAGUGGAGGGCCGUUUCCUCCAUCAAGGGUAUACGAAUGGCUGCACUCCCCUGCUAGAACCUCCAAACAAGUUCUCAAAAACUACAGUACCAGGGGCCAGGGGUUUAGCUCAGUGGUCCUGCUGCCUGCCUUGCAAGUGCAAGGAUCCAAAUUCA
Unclassified non-coding RNA from Fukomys damarensis (Damara mole-rat), 315 nucleotides. Its record names the gene 7SK. It matches the Rfam family "7SK RNA". From Rfam's summary of the family: 7SK was discovered as an abundant small nuclear RNA in the mid-70s but a possible function has only recently been suggested. Two independent studies have found that 7SK RNA binds the CDK9/cyclin T complex (known as elongation factor P-TEFb). P-TEFb activates transcription by phosphorylating the C-terminal domain of RNA polymerase II. NCBI's taxonomy places the organism in Eukaryota, Metazoa, Chordata, Mammalia, Rodentia, Bathyergidae. The record is from Ensembl.